Molecule: ribosomal RNA, 213 nt
Filed under: uncultured Gigaspora
Lineage: Eukaryota; Fungi; Glomeromycota; Glomeromycetes; Diversisporales; Gigasporaceae
Description: partial small subunit ribosomal RNA
Rfam family: Eukaryotic small subunit ribosomal RNA (bases 39-213)
Source: RNAcentral
GGGUUCUACCGUUGGUCGGGCUAUUGUCUGUACUGGCGUGUAGAAUUUCUACCUUCUGGGGAACUAUCAUGUUAUUAAUUUAGCGUGGUAGGAAACCAGAACCUUUACCUUGAAAAAAUUAGAGUGUUCAAAGCAGGCUUAUGUCUGAAUACAUUAGCAUGGAAUAAUAAAAUAGGACGGUGGUCCUGUUUUGUUGGUUUCUGAAUCACCGUA